UUUAGUUCACUUAUGACAUAAUUAGCCUAGGUAGGUCAAAAAUAGCACAAGAACCUUGGUUACCUCAUAACUUAGUGUAUCUUCCUCCAAAAUGACAUAAUAAGCUCAAAAUAAGAUAAGUAAUUAUCUUCACCUUCUUAUUCUUUUUCUCCUCCUCCUCCUCCUCCUUCUCCUUCUCCUCCUUCUUCUCCUUCUUCUCCUUCUUCUCCUUCUUCUUCUUCUUCAAGUUUUCUUCUUCUUCUUCUUCUUCUACUUUUCUUCUUCUUCCUCUUCUUCUUCUAGUUUUAUUUUUAGUCUUCUUCU
This 303-nucleotide long non-coding RNA is filed under the name Hordeum vulgare. Its description in RNAcentral is "long non-coding RNA (HVUL_LNC012619)". The record is from RNAcentral. Lineage: Eukaryota; Viridiplantae; Streptophyta; Magnoliopsida; Poales; Poaceae.